RNAcentral lists this ribosomal RNA (355 nucleotides) under uncultured cyanobacterium. RNAcentral's name for it is "bacterial SSU rRNA". It matches the Rfam family "Bacterial small subunit ribosomal RNA", at positions 28 to 416 of the family's 1533-position model. The record is from RNAcentral. Lineage: Bacteria; Bacillati; Cyanobacteriota.
GAUGAACACUGGCGGCGUGCUUAACACAUGCAAGUCGAACGCACCUUCGGGUGAGUGGCGGACGGGUGAGUAACGCGUGAGAAUCUGCCCCAAGGAGGGGGAUAACGGCUGGAAACGGCCGCUAAUACCCCAUAUGCCGCGAGGUGAAAUGAAUUUCGCCUUGGGAUGAGCUCGCGUCUGAUUAGCUAGUUGGUGGGGUAAAGGCCUACCAAGGCAUCGAUCAGUAGCUGGUCUGAGAGGAUGAUCAGCCACACUGGGACUGAGACACGGCCCAGACUCCUACGGGAGGCAGCAGUGGGGAAUUCUCCGCAAUGGGCGAAAGCCUGACGGAGCAAGACCGCGUGGGGAGAGGCUC